This 1432-nucleotide long non-coding RNA is filed under the name Homo sapiens (human). RNAcentral's name for it is "non-protein coding lnc-TMEM123-5:1". The record is from RNAcentral. Lineage: Eukaryota; Metazoa; Chordata; Mammalia; Primates; Hominidae.
GUGCGGCGAUGAACCUCCGGGAAAGACGCUGGGAGGCCAGGAUGCCCGGCGCAACUGGACGCUCAUCGGGAGUCACGGGGUCGGCCCUCAGGGGAACGGGGACUAUCCGUAUCAACUCGGUGUUUGUUCGUUUUCUUCACCUUGCGGUUUGUGCCCUCUCCACAUUUCCUCUCUGUGUCUACCAUUCUCCUGGGGGACGUGGCAAACCGUGAGCCGCUGCGUUUGAGUUUUGGGAAACCCUGCGGAAACGCCCUGGCGCCGGUGGUUUUGCGCGUCCUACCCUGUGUCACCUCAGGGUUAUGAUCUGGCCCCUGGCAAGGCUCCCCAAGUGUGAUGCCUCCCCCCGUCCAGAUGACUGCAUUUUGAGGAUGGAGUCAGUCUGGUGGCAUUUUUUGCUUAAGUAAACAAUUGUAACCGUUUGUGUAGCAUCAGCGUUCAACAGCUGCCUGUGCAAAUCGAAAAAAGCGAAACUUUGGAAACUAGGAAGCAUCAGAUGAAUAAUUCUGAAGACUUGAUGUCAACGGGAGUAUCUUGUUUUUAAACUUUUGGUUUUCUGUUCUGGAGACAAACAGUUCAUAUGCACUAAAGAAAAAAGUGUCAUUAUUUCAGAUGCUCAUUGCCAGCAAAGAGAACUGUAUUGCAAGUCAGGCUUCACUCCCAGUAUUUUCUGAAUGUUUCAAUAAAAUGAAAUAUAUACGUCUGCCUGUGUAUUGGUGUACAUGCACAUAUAAUUGUACAUAAACCAGAGAGGAGCCCAAUUUUUUUUAAUGCUUAGGUAAUAGAAAAUUUGUAAAUAAAAACCCUUGGCUUUUGCUAGUCAUGGACCUUUUGUAUCCCCCCGCCAUACUCCCCCAAUAGUGCCAUAGACACAGUGUCGUGCAGUAAAUGUUUGUGGUAUGACAACCAACGAACGACUUUUGAAGUUGACGCUCUUUGCCCGUUGAAUCCGAUGCUUGCUUCUCUCUGGGGAACUCCAAGGGGCAAAUAUUUAAAAAACUUCCAAAUAGCAAGCCACUUAAUUAGGGAGCCGGGGGAAUUCCAAGACCCUGAACCAUUUCCCAUUUCCUGUCUGUGUCAUUUCUGCCUGCCAGUCAGUCACAGAACAGGAGGUCUACUGUUCCAAUGUUAAUAGUCAAAGAAAGUGAGUGUAACAGUUUGUAAUACAGAGAAAAGAAAUGCCAUGGCUCCCAAUGACUAAAAACUUCCAAAAAUGCACCUGGGGCUUGGUAGUAGUUUAGUAUUUAGUUCAAGUCACUAUUUCUCGGAAGGUUUACAGAACAUUCCUAACACAUGUGGGAAAAUAUAUAUAGCAAGAAUUGUUCAUUCUGAACUCAAGAUUAUUUCUCUUUUUCAGUUCUUGUCCUGACCAAAGCAGUAAGAUAAUGAAUAUACUUAAGUAUAGGGGAAAGCUUGCAUUUCAAAAACUCAAAAG